This 397-nucleotide ribosomal RNA is filed under the name uncultured Pseudomonas sp. Its description in RNAcentral is "bacterial SSU rRNA". It matches the Rfam family "Bacterial small subunit ribosomal RNA", at positions 984 to 1382 of the family's 1533-position model. The record is from RNAcentral. Lineage: Bacteria; Pseudomonadati; Pseudomonadota; Gammaproteobacteria; Pseudomonadales; Pseudomonadaceae.
ACAUGCAGAGAACUUUCCAGAGAUGGAUUGGUGCCUCGGGAACUCUGACACAGGUGCUGCAUGGCCGUCCUCAGCUCGUGUCGUGAGAUGUUGGGUUAAGUCCCGUAACGAGCGCAACCCUUGUCCUUAGUUACCAGCACGUUAUGGUGGGCACUCUAAGGAGACUGCCGGUGACAAACCGGAGGAAGGUGGGGAUGACGUCAAGUCAUCACGGCCCUUACGGGCUGGGCUACACACGUGCUACAAUGGUGGUGACAGUGGGCAGCGAGACCGCGAGGUCGAGCUAAUCUCCAAAAGCCAUCUCAGUUCGGAUUGCACUCUGCAACUCGAGUGCAUGAAGUUGGAAUCGCUAGUAAUCGCGGAUCAGCAUGCCGCGGUGAAUACGUUCCCGGGCCUU